RNAcentral lists this ribosomal RNA (855 nucleotides) under uncultured fungus. Its description in RNAcentral is "eukaryotic LSU rRNA". It matches the Rfam family "Eukaryotic large subunit ribosomal RNA", at positions 75 to 932 of the family's 3401-position model. The record is from RNAcentral. Lineage: Eukaryota; Fungi.
UUCCCCUAGUAACGGCGAGUGAAGCGGGAAGAGCUCAAAUUUGUAAUCUGGCACUUUCAGUGUCCGAGUUGUAAUCUCGAGAAGUGUUUUCCGCGCCGGACCGCAUACAAGUCUGUUGGAAUACAGCGUCAUAGUGGUGAGAACCCAGUAACUGAUGCGGAUGCCCGGUGCUUUGUGAUACACUUUCGAAGAGUCGAGUUGUUUGGGAAUGCAGCUCAAAUUGGGUGGUAAAUUCCAUCUAAAGCUAAAUAUUGGCGAGAGACCGAUAGCGAACAAGUACCGUGAGGGAAAGAUGAAAAGCACUUUGGAAAGAGAGUUAACAGUACGUGAAAUUGUUGGAAGGGAAACACUUGACGUCAGACUUGCGUUUCGGAGUUCAGCCGUAAGGUGUAUUCUUCGAUUUGCAGGCCAGCAUCAGUUUUUGGGGGUGGAAAAUCGUGGUUUGAAGGUAGCAGUUUCGGCUGUGUUAUAGCUUUCCACUGGAUUCACCUUCGGGGACUGAGGAACGCAGUACGCUUUUUGCAAGGCUCUCGAGCUUUUCGUACUUAGGAUGCUGGUGGAAUGGCGUUAAAUGACCCGUCUUGAAACACGGACCAAGGAGUCUAACAUGCUUGCGAGUGUUUGGGUGUCAAACCCGAACGCGCAAUGAAAGUGAAUGGAGGUGGGAUCCGCAAGGUGCACCAUCGACCGAUCUGGAUUUUCUAUGAUGGAUUUGAGUAAGAGCAAUUAUGUUGGGACCCGAAAGAUGGUGAACUAUUCCUGAAUAGGGCGAAGCCAGAGGAAACUCUGGUGGAGGCUCGUAGCGGUUCUGACGWGCAAAUCGAUCGUCAAAUUUGGGUAUAGGGGCGAAAGACU